Molecule: ribosomal RNA, 459 nt
Filed under: uncultured bacterium
Lineage: Bacteria
Description: partial 16S ribosomal RNA
Rfam family: Bacterial small subunit ribosomal RNA
Source: RNAcentral
CCUACGGGGUGCAGCAGUGAGGAAUAUUGGUCAAUGGCCGGAAGCCUGAACCAGCCAAGCCGCGUGAAGGAAGAAGGUGCAAAGUAUUGUAAACUUCUUUUGUCAGGGGACAAAAGCAGGGACUAGUCCCCGGAUGAGGGUACCUGAAGAAAAAGCAUCGGCUAACUCCGUGCCAGCAGCCGCGGUAAUACGGAGGAUGCGAGCGUUAUCCGGAUUUAUUGGGUUUAAAGGGUGCGCAGGCGGCCUUUUAAGUCAGCGGUAAAAGGCCGGGGGUCAACCCCGGCGAGCCGUUGAAACUGGCGGGCUGGAGUUGGAGAGAGGUAUGCGGAAUGCGCGGUGUAGCGGUGAAAUGCGUAGAUAUUAGGAGGAACACCGGUGGCGAAGGCAGCAUGCUGGAGUGUGACUGACGUUGAGGCACGAAGGCGUGGGGAGCGAACAGGAUUAGAUACCCUUGUAGUC